RNAcentral lists this ribosomal RNA (253 nucleotides) under uncultured bacterium. RNAcentral's name for it is "partial 16S ribosomal RNA". It matches the Rfam family "Bacterial small subunit ribosomal RNA", at positions 524 to 776 of the family's 1533-position model. The record is from RNAcentral.
UACGUAGGUGGCAAGCGUUGUCCGGAAUUAUUGGGCGUAAAGCGCGCGCAGGCGGCCUUUUAAGUCUGAUGUGAAAGCCCACGGCUCAACCGUGGAAGGUCAUUGGAAACUGAAAGGCUUGAGUACAGAAGAGGAAAGCGGAAUUCCACGUGUAGCGGUGAAAUGCGUAGAGAUGUGGAGGGACACCAGUGGCGAAGGCGGCUUUCUGGUCUGUAACUGACGCUGAGGCGCGAAAGCGUGGGGAGCAAACAGG